This 585-nucleotide ribosomal RNA is filed under the name Brevundimonas nasdae. RNAcentral describes it as "bacterial SSU rRNA". It matches the Rfam family "Bacterial small subunit ribosomal RNA", at positions 38 to 669 of the family's 1533-position model. Lineage: Bacteria; Pseudomonadati; Pseudomonadota; Alphaproteobacteria; Caulobacterales; Caulobacteraceae. The record is from RNAcentral.
UGCGCAGCCUUACCAUGCAGUUCGAACGAACUUCUUUCGGAAGUUAGUGGCGGACGGGUGAGUAACACGUGGGAACGUGCCUUUAGGUUCGGAAUAACUCAGGGAAACUUGUGCUAAUACCGAAUGUGCCCUUCGGGGGAAAGAUUUAUCGCCUUUAGAGCGGCCCGCGUCUGAUUAGCUAGUUGGUGAGGUAAAGGCUCACCAAGGCGACGAUCAGUAGCUGGUCUGAGAGGAUGAUCAGCCACAUUGGGACUGAGACACGGCCCAAACUCCUACGGGAGGCAGCAGUGGGGAAUCUUGCGCAAUGGGCGAAAGCCUGACGCAGCCAUGCCGCGUGAAUGAUGAAGGUCUUAGGAUUGUAAAAUUCUUUCACCGGGGACGAUAAUGACGGUACCCGGAGAAGAAGCCCCGGCUAACUUCGUGCCAGCAGCCGCGGUAAUACGAAGGGGGCUAGCGUUGCUCGGAAUUACUGGGCGUAAAGGGAGCGUAGGCGGACAUUUAAGUCAGGGGUGAAAUCCCGGGGCUCAACCUCGGAAUUGCCUUUGAUACUGGGUGUCUUGAGUAUGAGAGAGGUGUGUGGAACUC